Molecule: ribosomal RNA, 1018 nt
Filed under: Lacinutrix gracilariae
Lineage: Bacteria; Pseudomonadati; Bacteroidota; Flavobacteriia; Flavobacteriales; Flavobacteriaceae
Description: bacterial SSU rRNA
Rfam family: Bacterial small subunit ribosomal RNA
Source: RNAcentral
GCUUGCUUCUUUGAUGACGACCGGCGCACGGGUGCGUAACGCGUAUAGAAUCUACCUUAUACUGAGGGAUAGCCUUUGGAAACGAAGAUUAAUACCUCAUAGUAUGUUUUUAUCGCAUGAUAGAUACAUUAAAGGUUACGGUAUAAGAUGACUAUGCGUUCUAUUAGCUAGAUGGUGUGGUAACGGCACACCAUGGCAACGAUAGAUAGGGGCCCUGAGAGGGGGAUCCCCCACACUGGUACUGAGACACGGACCAGACUCCUACGGGAGGCAGCAGUGAGGAAUAUUGGACAAUGGAGGCAACUCUGAUCCAGCCAUGCCGCGUGCAGGAAGACUGCCCUAUGGGUUGUAAACUGCUUUUAUACAGGAAGAAACCUUUUCACGUGUGAAAAGCUGACGGUACUGUAAGAAUAAGGAUCGGCUAACUCCGUGCCAGCAGCCGCGGUAAUACGGAGGAUCCAAGCGUUAUCCGGAAUCAUUGGGUUUAAAGGGUCCGUAGGUGGAUAAUUAAGUCAGGGGUGAAAGUCUGCAGCUCAACUGUAGAAUUGCCUUUGAUACUGGUUGUCUUGAAUUAUUGUGAAGUAGUUAGAAUAUGUAGUGUAGCGGUGAAAUGCAUAGAUAUUACAUAGAAUACCAAUUGCGAAGGCAGAUUACUAACAAUAUAUUGACACUGAUGGACGAAAGCGUGGGGAGCGAACAGGAUUAGAUACCCUGGUAGUCCACGCCGUAAACGAUGGUCACUAGCUGUUCGGAUUUAUCUGAGUGGCUAAGCGAAAGUGAUAAGUGACCCACCUGGGGAGUACGUUCGCAAGAAUGAAACUCAAAGGAAUUGACGGGGGCCCGCACAAGCGGUGGAGCAUGUGGUUUAAUUCGAUGAUACGCGAGGAACCUUACCAGGGCUUAAAUGUAAAUUGACAGGUUUAGAGAUAGACUUUUCUUCGGACAAUUUACAAGGUGCUGCAUGGUUGUCGUCAGCUCGUGCCGUGAGGUGUCAGGUUAAGUCCUAUAACGAGCGCAA